CAUUAACUAACUAACUAACUAACAAUAAUGGGUAUGCAUAUUUUUUUUCGAAACUGAAUAAACCUCCUCUACAAAUGGCUUGUCAGCACGGCUUAAUCAAUUAUUCGAAAUUCAGCAUUUCUAAUCAUGGGGUAGAAAAAGUGUUAUCAUAUCUGCGACCAUUAUAUACGGUAUCUGAAUAUAAAAUAAUAACACUGUGAGCGCGGCAGCCAAUCUAUCGGACAGAGCCCCGCGAUGGACGAGCGGCAUCAGGGAUGAUCAGUACCCCAUAUCAAGAAUAUACUUCGCUUAGCGAAAAAAAUCUAUACUGGUGGCUAAAGCAGAGGGCAGAUCGCUGCUAUCGCAAAAACAACGAACGCAUGUCUAGAUGUGCGUGCGUCCCGUUCUAAUUACGAUCUAGUGGCAAAUACGUUAUUACGAGCAACAAGUGCAGUGAAUCGAUAAUUUAGAUAAUAAAGCAUCCUUAAUGAACGCAAUCGGACAAAAUUUCCAUCUGUAAAUGACGCAGCGGAUAUGUAUGUCCUCGUUUCGACCAUGCGUCCAUCCUGAAGAAUGACAGUGUCCGUGGCGAGCAGAAGAAAGAUUUGCUUUAUCCGAAAGCAUGGACGUUUUUUUCUUGUUUAUGCAAGUUGCUACGCCAUUUAAUCACCUCAGAUACUGUUCAGAUAGUCAUGGACAAUCAAUAGACGUUUCGAGUUAUGCGUCCGGUACUAGCGUUAAGCACUGCUUGAGGUGACUGGCUGCAAGUGUGGAGCGAAGCGCGUCCACGUCAGGCUUCAGACCAGCGGAUUCAAAUUCCAUGUAUCAACAAGCUGAAGGCUAAAAAAUAAGCUAUACGAACAACGUCUGCUACAUAGAUUUCGAUUUUCUCUCCAAAGCAGUCCUAUUGCCUGUGUGUAAUUUCCAAAUCAGUAAUUAUCUUUCGAAUAUGUCACCGUCGUUGACACUGUGCGUGUGACACGUAAACGCAUUGGACACACAUUUCAGGCUAUAUGUUUUCAACCAGACAGGUAGUAUGGGCUGGUCGACGUGAGCCUUACCGAUCGCUUGAUUAGUCCACGUGUUCCUGUCGUUUCCAGCGUGUAAUUACGGGCCGCUACCGAAUCAGCUGAAAGUAACGGGUAAUUUCUAGCAGCGGAUUUAUAUUUGGCUGUUCAGCUUGUAACGAAAACGUAGGAAAGUUUUCACGUUUAAGCCUCAAUCAUUUAAAGUAACGUGUUAAAGACCAACGGUGUACGAGCAAACUUCAACGUAACAGUAACAACUAACAGAGGGAUAUUAAUGACUAAACUGAACUAUGUUUAUUAUAUAAUAAAUUAUAUACUCAGUGUCUCGUUUUUGGACUGACGCUGGCGGAUGGCGAGGUCGAUUCUUCGCAUUGUGAUGCGGCAUCAAAAUCAAGGUCGAUUAGCAUCACUACAACGAUCACACCGAAACGGAUCAUCUUCCCAGUCCGAUGUGACAUUUCCGGUCGAAACGUUUGCUUACGGCAGUAAAGCGCUUGUGUCAAGGGUGUCUUGCUCUCGUUUUAUGUCAGUUAUUCUCUGUUUAGAGCGGCCAACGUUAAGCGACAAAGGUCGAAGGCACGCUACGUAUAUGCUUUAAAGCUACAUCACGGAACUGAAACGCCGCCAUUCAAGAAUAAUUUCGCAUCUGUCACCAGAACGUAAGCUGUUGGCCCGAACGGAGCAAAGCGGUCGGAUGAGAAAGCGAAGGAGGCCGACAAUUUGAAAUCAUUAAUCCGAAUUCAGACGGCGUAACCAAAGCAGAGGCCGGUUCAUCAGAUCAGGUACGGGGAGCCUUGAGUAAUAAUCCUAUAAAAGGAAGUGAUACUCACUGAGAAGCUUGAUUCUACAUUUGUAUUUAGAUCGCAUUCUACAGAGAAGACAAUACGUGUGCAAUAAUGCCGAUAAUAGUAGAAAUAUUAAGAAAUUUGAAUACUAGAUAUUCGAUAAAUGAUCCUUGUUGAUACAGUAAAUCUCAGCGCUGCUACUGUGUCCCUGCCUUUUACUAAUUAUUUCAUAAUCGCUGCACGCCAAUACGACAGUGCAUACCGACAGACUCGUCAAUACAAGAACCUGUUCUGUAACCUAAGUACAAAGAUAUUGCCAAAUGAGGACGUUACGUAAAACAAUAGUUCGAUUGUAUUAUUUAUUACAUGACGGUAAUGCGAGCAGAAUGACAGUGUAUAUAGUCUUCACUCGUUCUCCCGAAUGGCGCUCGUCGAGCAAACGACAUUCGUUCUUCUAAACGUUCCAUCUAUUUUCGGCUAUGACGUCCGCAUGUAUGAAGAUACCCUCAGCAUCUAACACUAGCUUUCAUAGAGCUUAAUAAUAGCGCUACAAAUUAUACCGCUGUGUAUAGACUAACAUCGAUUCUCUUAUCUUGUCGCGAGGCGUCCAUCCCCCAAAUCAAACAACAAGAAGUAUUGCUAUAUAGAAAAACGCUUCAUAUAACAUGUCGAAUAGUGCAGAAUUAGCCACUUACCUAAUAAGCACGAAGAGCUUGUUAACUUUAGUUACUUUAACUAUAGCUACUCAGUUGUCCUUAUUUUAUAAACAGAAGAUCGAUAGUUAUCGGUCUUAAUUAAUAUGUACGGUUAGUUUCGCACGAGCAAGGUAAGGCUGGCCAGUUAUUUCCAGUGACAAAGAUUACCCGCAAUGCAUCAAGGUCGGCUAAGAUCAAGAUUUAAACUUAUCUUCAAUUGGGUAUGGAAGAAUCGCGUUCGUUUGUUGAUUAUCAGUGUUGUCUUUCAGCAUCGAGGCACUCAUUCAUGGCUAUUGACAUACUUCAAGAUAUAUUCGACCAGACAGGAAGCCAAUUAGCGACACCGUAAUGCUAUUAAAUAUUUCAAGCUUGACAUUUUGUAUUAGAACUACGACACAUAUAGCCGCAUAUGACAACAAUCAAUCCCCUGUCCAUAUAUUGACCCAAUAAAGCAAAUACAUAGCACGUCUUCGCCUUUCUUUUAGACUGAAAUCGAAAACAUUUCAGUGCACAGUAAUACAUAACAGUCACUUGACGGCAACAAAACUAGGCCAAGCUUCGAAUAUAGUUCUUGCUUGUCGCCUACAGCAGGACGAAAUAUAAAAUUCUUACUACGGGAAUGUAGCACGUUGAGUGGCGUACGACUUGAUAUCUUAAGCACGACCUAAUCAGCGCGUAGAGAGAUCUCUAUGGAAGGGAAAAUGUCCAGGAGGCUGUUGUCCAGAUGACGUCCACGACGAUCUGAGAUCCGCUAAAACUUCAAUGCUUCUCAGUUGCUCCGUAUUUGGGACAUGGCUACUACAGAGUAGGAUAGAACUGGGUAAUUUGUCUCUACUCCAGAUUCGAGCGGAUCAAACACAUCGUUCAUUUAGAUUUUUGUCACUAUAAUAGACCCUCUUAGAUCGUUAUGUAGGACCCUGACCGGUUAGGAAAGAUAGGGCUAAGUGGGAUACAGUAUAAAAAUCAGUAAAAACGUUGUAUUAAUGCUGCAUUUUCAAUAACGACAUCUUACCCAUAAUUCAUCGGAGUCAAUCAUAUCUUUAAGUGGUCAAAUCUCUAGGCUGGGUCUUAAAGCCCAUCACAUUAAGUACUACUGUAUGUAUGUCAUGAUAGUUCUGUGUACUUCCUCAAUACUCUCAUCGUUAUAUAGAAGGUGUGGUUUCUUUGCGCAGUAUAUGCAUACAAUUGUACGUAUCAUCGCGUAAUAGCCUAUGCAACGAUGCGUUUCCAAAUUAACAGAUAAAAUCUGAACUGCAAUAGCCGUAAUUACCAGCAAUAGCUCUAAAAUCUAGUUAAUCUAGUCCAAUAAUAACGUAUAAAACACUAAUCGCUUUUUCAAUCGAAGUUCCGCGCGGUGCUUGAGGGCCGGGCCCGUCUUCAUCGUCAUCCUACAGUUCUUUAGAGCAAUUCAGAUAAGUCAAAUGACAUCAGCAGUAAUCUGUGACAGAUCAGAUGGUUAGCGAGGGCUUAGAGGAUCGAAACGGCUUGAUGAUUUGUGAACCCAUCGAUAACAAAACAGCCCAUGAACGUUCCUUACUUACUCUUGCAUCCUCAAAAUGUCCUGUACAUAUCCUAUCAAACAUCGGUUUACGGUGUACAUGUGGAUGAUUCUGAACUGUGAUCAUCCAUAUUCCAGGUCAACGAAAUAGCUUAACUCCGUCAGCUACAGUCGGUGUUGCAGCGCACCAUAUAUUAUACACUAUUCCUUUACCAUCUAUUGUGGGCACUGAUGGGCGUACGGAUGGCUGCUAGGUCACCAAACUCUCCUUCUCCACCAUUGAAUAAUUCCAUCAUCAACCGAACGACCAACCAAUUAAACUAAAGGACCAGUUGCGAGAUCGUAUACUUACCCCUUGGCGGCCCCAGCUUGGCUAGUUGCUCAAGGGCCGUCGUCUUCAGGCUUGCUUAGGUCGUAUCCAUGGCAAGAUAGCGAUUGGUGGUCGUAGUACGAUCCGUAGUAGACUUGUAGUGGCAGUCGUGGUUGUAAUAGCAGCAAUAGUGUAGCACAGACGUCGACGUCGUAUUACAAUCGACAUUAGUGUGACCACUUACUGCAAUAGCUCCCUUGACUUUGGCGCAGUUCACCGUUUCAGCCUCAGCCUUGCCGCCAGCGUUUAGCCGUGAAAUGCUGUACACGCGCGCUAUUGCGAUUACACUUUGGCGGCAGCGGUGGCGGCAGCGGCGGUCACUGAACUGUCGACGGCGACGUCAACACUAAAAGCGAUAAUCGUUCGCCGUUGGUCUUGUCUUGCUUAGGUUCACCACAUCACCUUAUAAUAGCACUCUGCAUCUAAUGAGUACCAUCGAAUCCAUUACCGAUAUUCCACCAACAUCAGUUCAUAAUGCACGACGACGCAUCGCGACCGCGCUGCUUGAUCGCGCCUUUGGUACCAAACAGAGACGAGAAACGGCGUAACAUACAUAGGGACCCAGUCGGCUUCGAUCUGAAAUGAGCUGACGGUUUACACCAGCACUUCCGCUUUCGACUUCCUCCUAUCAGACGGUUGCUCGCUGUACUCUUAAAGUUUUCCACAGAAAAACGCUCUACAAUACCGACGGCUAUACCACCAUUAGCCACACCGACUUCUUGACUGGUCCAAUUUUUAGAACGCCAUAAUAACUGUGCGCAGAGGCAUAUUUACGGACGCAGCAGCUGCUAACACCGUCGUUAGUAAGCUCGAGCUGUCUCUGAUUGGCCUGCCGCUGCUGGGGGAAUUGGAGCCGCAACAUCUCAGCUCGUACUCGACUCACAGGCGAGUCUGAUACUGUUCGCGCUCCUGUAUCGGUGCUCAAACUUUCACGGUCCGCCCCGCUACUGCCUGCCUAGCGUUGGAUAAGCGAGUGCACCAAUGGCCAAAAAGCCAACUUCUACACAGUCAAAGUACACACCAACCCACAAGACGUCGCUCUUCUCGGUCCAGUGUUUACGUUCACUCUUGGAGAAAACUAGAUGCCAAGCAAAGACCGGCAACUAGAAACGCUUGCUCCAGGUUAGAUGUUUCCUGACAGAAGGUAAAUGAGCCCCGCCAAAACGAGGCGCAGUAUUCUAUCGACGACCAAUGGCUGGCCAGUGCAAUGUUAGCGCUGUGCUAGCCAGUUAACGCGACGCGCAACGUGAAGAGAGCGCGGAAAGUGACGCGAGCUAACGGCAGAAAAAGGGAGGACGACGUGUGCGUUCGUGAAGAAGAAACGUCAGAUUGACGUUCGCAAGACUUUUGUCGGAACGGGGAAGACAGCUGAGACGUAAGGUACAUCACUGUUUAUUUCGAACAUGGACUCAAGUAAAAGCGACGCUAAUCGAGUGAAAAUCGCCGUAACCUUUAACUGGUGGUUAUACACAGAGGGAUCUUGUAUCCUUGAUUUUGAAGAAUCCCCUAGAAUCUAGGUCGAUUCAAAUCUGCACUGAACAACUCUGUUUCAGGGAGCACAGUCGCGUGUGAAAGCGACAAAUGAGUCAGCUGAUAGCCAACAGUUAUGAGAUACAGGCCGCGUCGCUACGCGUCGAGGAGCGAAAGGUCGCUCGAACGCUCGGAUGUUUGUUGAGAUUCGUAAGCGUGUUCUGAGCUGUUGCCACCGGUGGUGCCAAAUCGCCGCCGAACUCGGUGGCUUCCUUUGGCUAUUGGGCAGUCUCCUCACCGGCCGAAGCAGCAGUAGCGCUACAGGCUCUGUGGCUCACCUUGAUUCAUCAGUAGCGCCAAAGGGUAUUCGAAGGGAGCAGUGAAUCUGGGCUGGAGCUCCCGCAGGGUGCCGGUAAGAAGUUAAGUAAGGCAGAAAAAAGACAUAGUCAGGGCGGCAUCAGCAGGCAGAUUAGCGAGCGGACCUUAUUCUUACAUUCGUUCAUUGAAGUUAGUGUAAGUGUGCAUCGACGAGCGACGUCUAUAGGUUAGCAGGAGUGAGCUGGAGUGAAUCGUGCCUGACCAGCGGCGCACACAGCGACAGCAGCGAACAGCUUGAUUUGAAAUGUCUUUUCAUAACGGUAGUGCUGGCAAAACUGUUGGUAUCCCUGAUAUUCAACAGUUGGCCGUACCGUUCCAAGAGAGUCUUAAGAGGCUCGAACUGAACAUGCUUACCUUGCAUAUAGAAGAUGUCUCUGGGAGUUUCUGGAUCUCGGCACAAUAUUUCGUAGGUGGCGGCAGCUAUCAAACCAAUUCAGAAGACCAGGUCAGACUAGUUAGCUGAAAAGUACGUCUCGGCGGCAUUUUUUGAAUUUGGUCACGCAUUCAUCACGUUCACCACGCCCUUCAGUAUCCCGUUUUUGCCGUACCUCGUUCUCCGAAUCCCCUUCGUUCGUUGACAAGCUUAUGAUCUCACGAGUUAGCUGACAGACAUACAUUGCUCUAAAAUUUAGAUCAAGAGUCGUUAGACGCGGCAGGCCAUUCGGUUAUGAUGUUCUUUGCUAUUUUAAGGCCACGUCCCAAUGUAUCCGAAGAGGCCACCCGCAGGAGCGUGUCUGGUAAGUCAAAUUCGUCACCUCCGUUAUCACUACGCCGCUUGAUUCCCAGAAAUCCGUGUACAAAGUUCGAUACCGGGCUUCGAUGUGGUGGGCCGUGAUGGUGGUACGAAUGGUAAUGAUCUGAAACGCGAUAUGUCCUUAAAACGGUCCUGGCGGUAGAAGAAUAUUGGAACUGGCACUGAACAGCGCUGUUGGAACGUUUGUAAUCAAGUUUAAGGUAAACUUACUAAAAAGUUGCAUCAUGGCCGGAAGGACGGACAGAGAAUAGAUGAGCGCAGCGAACAUCACCGUACUUAUGCCUCCGUACCACGGCCAGCCUCCUCCCCAACCACCCCAAGGUCCGAUGGGGCCGCCCCACCCGGGAAUGAUUUGACGAUUGUCGAACAUUACUUGGCCUUCUUGCUUUGCCGUUUCUGUAAAGCGAAGGAAGAGCAUUUACAAUUCGACGUAACAACAUGUGUUCCACCUUCUACGCCGGUGAAGAUAAUUCUGAAGAAAACUAAUACAACGACCCCAUAGACGAAGAGCAACUUAUUUGAAGCCAUCUGCAAACUGGUAAAUACGUUACUCCACUUCAAAGGCAAUUCAACACACUAUGCCUUCACCGAAUGCCACAGCCUGAUGGGAAACAAAUGUUCAAGCAGUAGGUACAACCAUAUGAACCUAGACACACUUGGAAACUCCCAACGAGCCGUACAGCCACGUAUUUAUCUGAUGCUCAACUGGAAUGAAGAACUUCGCCAGCUCUUUGAUCCUCCGUCAGAGGUUUGCACAUCCAGGAAUGAGCGGACAUUAGCGCUGCAGCGGGUUUUCAUCGGCAGGCGAAACGAAGUAAACGUCGACACGCCCUUGUUAACAAGAACCCCUCGUCUUCACGAGGGGGAAAGUUGGCUCUCGUUAAGAAGCCGUCAAUAGAGUACUGUCGUAGAUAAUUGCAAGUUACGUUCAACAGCCCGUGACGACGUGUCUGACGAACACUAUGGGAAUUUGCUGCAAACUAGUGUUGAGAUACUAUAUCUCUAGAACUAAAGAUACUGCGUGAUGAUCAUUUUUGAGAUAACAUGCUGUUAAAGAAAAUAUUUUGAAGGAAAUGUAUCUCUAACAAUUAAUCUUGUUUGCUUUUUGGCACAAAUAUCAGGUGUACGUCGAGAAUUGUUUUAGAAUUUGGCCUUCAUGCAUUUGAUGAAUACUUCCUAACCGUACAAGGAUGCUUAUGUUUUCAGACAAUUAAGUAAGCCUUUUUCUUAGAUCUACCUACCGGGAGCGACGCCAUGGCUUCGUAUUAGCGCAUCUUAGCCCGAUAGCAAUUUUGUCAUGAAAACACAACAAUACAGCUAUAAAUAAAUGAUGAGAAUGUUGUCCGCUAAAAAAUAUCUCAAAUCAGAGAAAAUAAUCGAAGUUCACAAAUAUCAUAAGUUUUUUGUGUUUGCAAUUUUUGUCACCUGACUCUUGCCUAUAAUAAUUGUGGUAUACAUUAGGUAACACUGUUAGUAGUACUUUAAUAUACAGCGUCUCAGUGUAUGCUUUUUUCUCAAGUAAGUACUUAAUUGAUUGAUUAGGCGAUUGUUGAUAAAUCAGCUUUCAAAAAGUAAAGAUGAUUCGUAACGUGACUGGAAAGACUUAGCUAUGCUUGCUUUUAAAAUUUUAAUAAGGAAUUGGAAUACUGGAUACGACCAUAAAAUGUUUUUUUUUUUUUAUAGAGUUUUGCCUGUGCGAGGAUCUGAGCGACACGUCUUAGAGACACGUUAUUGUAUAGGUUCGAACGCUGGGAACCAAUCUUACGGUGAAAUGCCUAACGCUGAUGUCGAACGUAAAACUAGAAAUACAGGGUUUUUUUUUUGUCUAGCUAUUGAAAGUCUUAGGUUUAAAUCUAGAAAAGCUACUUAUCGCAUUGAUUAAAGGCAUACCCAAACAGAGAUGUAUCAAUCACUUAUCUAUAUUGUUCCUUUACAUCGUACAUUAACGUGAAACUUUCAAGAAGCAACCGUUUUGUCUGACGUUGUUGAAUACCAUAAUUGCCACCCUAGAAUUUCAGUAGCUAUGUUUUGAACGAGCCAAUAUUAGCUUUGCCCGAUACAUUUGAUAUAAUACAUAAAGAAAGACGGCCUAACAUGUGGACAUGUGUUUUUUAAGAGUUAACGAAUUGCUUUAUGACUUUUUCAGAGGUAAUCCAUAACGUUAACGUCUGUCAACAUAACGUCCAUAACGUAUUGGCCUGUAAUAAACUACAUGAAUGAAUUGCUACACUAUAUUAAAGGUAAUUUAGAUGAAAGGCCAAUUUACGUAUCUCGUACAAGGCUCUACACUUUGAAUCCCCGACCAGGAACUUACGUUUUACCUUCUCCCAGAGCACGUACUCGUUGAUACCACGCAGGCGAAAUGCGUGACCGUAACGAAAAGAAGCCUCGGUCACAGAUAACGCCGUAUAAGGAU
Molecule: long non-coding RNA, 9373 nt
Organism: Varroa destructor (honeybee mite)
Lineage: Eukaryota; Metazoa; Arthropoda; Arachnida; Mesostigmata; Varroidae
Source: RefSeq, a predicted model, not a curated record